Molecule: ribosomal RNA, 588 nt
Filed under: Triticum aestivum (bread wheat)
Lineage: Eukaryota; Viridiplantae; Streptophyta; Magnoliopsida; Poales; Poaceae
Description: partial small subunit ribosomal RNA
Source: RNAcentral
AUGAAGAGGAAGCCCGUCGUGAUCUGCUGCAGCGUGCUGCUCGCCCUCAUCCUCGUCCUCGCCAUCGUCUUCGUCGCGCUCUACUUCACCGUGUUCCGGCCGCGCGCGCCGCACGUGGUGGCGACGGUGGUGAGCACGACGUUUACUCAAUUCGACGUGACCUCCUUCCCGCCCAAGGUCAACAUGAGCUUGGGCGUGGACGUGACCGUGAAGAACCCCAACUACGCGGCGUUCCGUUACGGCGACGUGGUGACGGAGCUGACGUACUACGGCUCGCCCGUGGGGCAGUCAGUGGUGCUCGCGGGGGAGGUCGGCGCGCGAACGACACAGACCGUCGGCGGGACGGUAGUGCUGCAGGCGGACAAGGUUGUGUUCACGCCCCAAUUCGUCCAGGAACUGGCUUCCAAGUUGCUCGACCUGCCGGAUUUCAUGCUGCCGUUCCAGACGAGGACGACGGUGGCCGGGAAGGCCGUGGUGCUGGGGACGUUAAAAAUCAGGGCCAGCUCGGCGGUGACUUGCAGCAUCACCACCUACCCUCUCAAGCAGGAGACCACCUCCGACUGCACGUCCACGGUUAAUGUCGGUUAA